Long non-coding RNA from Oncorhynchus keta (chum salmon), 700 nucleotides. RefSeq lists it as uncharacterized. NCBI's taxonomy places the organism in Eukaryota, Metazoa, Chordata, Actinopteri, Salmoniformes, Salmonidae. The transcript is spliced from 3 exons. The record is from RefSeq and is a predicted model, not a curated record.
CAGUUCAGAGUUCCAGAGGUACAGAAUGGUCUGGCAGGCUCGAGGUCAGGGCAGGCAGAAUGGUCAGGCAGGCUCGAGGUCAGAGCAGGCAGAAUGGUCAGGCAGGCUCGAGGUCAGGGCAGGCAGAAUGGUCAGGCAGGCUCGAGGUCAGGGCAGGCAGAAUGGUCAGGCAGGCUCGAGGUCAGGGCAGGCAGAAUGGUCAGGCAGGCUCGAGGUCAGGGCAGGCAGAAUGGUCAGGCAGGCUCGAGGUCAGGGCAGGCAGAAUGGUCAGGCAGGCUCGAGGUCAGGGCAGGCAGAAUGGUCAGGCAGGCUCGAGGUCAGGGCAGGCAGAAUGGUCAGGCAGGCUCGAGGUCAGGGCAGGCAGAAUGGUCAGGCAGGCUCGAGGUCAGGGCAGGCAGAAUGGUCAGGCAGGCUCGAGGUCAGGGCAGGCAGAAUGGUCAGGCAGGCUCGAGGUCAGGGCAGGCAGAAUGGUCAGGCAGGCUCGAGGUCAGGGCAGGCAGAAUGGUCAGGCAGGCUCGAGGUCAGGGCAGGCAGAAUGGUCAGGCAGGCUCGAGGUCAGGGCAGGCAGAAUGGUCAGGCAGGCUCGAGGUCAGGGCAGGCAGAAUGGUCAGGCAGGCUCGAGGUCAGGGCAGGCAGAAUGGUCAGGCAGGCUCGAGGUCAGGGCAGGCAGAAUGGUCAGGCAGGCCGGAAUGGAGUCCAG